AUGGCUGACAAACAGAACAACAAGGGGAAGGAGAAGAUGCGCUGCUCGGACUCGCUGUCCGACGAUUCAGAUUCAGUACGGCCCUGCAAGAGGCCCCGGCGGCCGGCUCCAGAGACCACCCCGGAGCAGCCGAGCGCACAAGGUUCCCUGAAAAUCAGGGAUCGUAAGGGAUGGCAGCAUGGUAUCAUCAUCGACGGAAACAGAAACUGGAAGUGCAAGUACUGCCCCAUGGUUGGGCGCAGCGGCGGCGUCACCAGCCUCAAGCAUCAUGUUGCUGGUGGCAGCACCAGGGUAAGGGCCUGCCCAUCUGCUCCUAAACAUGUCUCCAAGGAGGUGAAACGUUGGUUGGACAGUAGAAGGCGGAAACCAAAGUGGACUGCACGAAAAGGGACUGUUGUGCAGCCGGCAAUGGCCACAACCACUGACCCCAAGAACCCUGUACCCAGCAAUUCGACACAAGGUUCUGAUGAAAACAGUGCAUUCCCCUCCCCAGCAUCAUUCAUGACACCUCUUGUGGACAUGAUGCUUGCUGCCGCGGAGGUGCUGAGGGCGGAGGAGGAGCAGGCCAAGGACUCUGAAAAGAAGCCAUGA
Molecule: ribosomal RNA, 591 nt
Filed under: Triticum aestivum (bread wheat)
Lineage: Eukaryota; Viridiplantae; Streptophyta; Magnoliopsida; Poales; Poaceae
Description: partial small subunit ribosomal RNA
Source: RNAcentral